ACACCUACGGGUGGCAGCAGUCGAGAAUCUUCGGCAAUGGGCGCAAGCCUGACCGAGCGACGCCGCGUGCGGGAUGAAGGCCUUCGGGUUGUAAACCGCUGUCGUAGGGGAGGAAGAUCCUGUGAAGAACAGGGUUUGACCGAUCCUAGGAGGAAGCGCCGGCUAAUCUCGUGCCAGCAGCCGCGGUAAUACGAGAGGCGCAAACGUUAUUCGGAAUUACUGGGCCUAAAGAGUUCGUAGGCGGCGCGGAAAGUGGGGUGUGAAAGCCCUCGGCUCAACCGAGGAAUUGCGCUCCAAACUACCGUGCCUGAGGAAUCUAGAGGUGAGCGGAACUGAUGGUGGAGCGGUGAAAUGCGUUGAUAUCAUCAGGAACACCGGAGGCGAAGGCGGCUCACUGGGGAUUUUCUGACGCUGAGGAACGAAAGCCAA
This 429-nucleotide ribosomal RNA is filed under the name uncultured Planctomycetota bacterium. Its description in RNAcentral is "bacterial SSU rRNA". It matches the Rfam family "Bacterial small subunit ribosomal RNA", at positions 335 to 763 of the family's 1533-position model. Lineage: Bacteria; Pseudomonadati; Planctomycetota. The record is from RNAcentral.